This 594-nucleotide ribosomal RNA is filed under the name Hepatozoon canis. RNAcentral's name for it is "bacterial SSU rRNA". It matches the Rfam family "Eukaryotic small subunit ribosomal RNA", at positions 225 to 808 of the family's 1831-position model. The record is from RNAcentral. Lineage: Eukaryota; Apicomplexa; Hepatozoidae.
UGCAUGCUUUUACAGUAUGGAAAUUGGUGAUUUAUAAUAACUUAGCAAAUCGCAAAGUGAAAACAGGCGAUAAAUCAUUCAAGUUUCUGACCUAUCAGCUUUCGACGGUAUGGUAUUGGCUUACCGUGGCAGUGACGGUUAACGGGGGAUUAGGGUUCGAUUCCGGAGAGGGAGCCUGAGAAACGGCUACCACAUCUAAGGAAGGCAGCAGGCGCGCAAAUUACCCAAUUCUAACAGUUUAAGAGAGGUAGUAACAAGAAAUAACAAUACAAGGCAAUUAAAAUGCUUUGUAAUUGGAAUGAUAGAAAUUUAAACCCUUUUUAAAGUAUCAAUUGGAGGGCAAGUCUGGUGCCAGCAGCCGCGGUAAUUCCAGCUCCAAUAGCGUAUAUUAAAAUUGUUGCAGUUAAAAAGCUCGUAGUUGAAGUUCUGCUAAAAGUAACCGGUCUGCUUUUAAUAAAAGUGGUAUCUUGGUGUGUAUUUAGCAAUGAUGUCCUUUGAAGUGUUUUUUACUUUAUUGUAAUAAAGCAUAUUCAGGACUUUUACUUUGAGAAAAUUAGAGUGUUUCUAGCAGGCCAACGCUUUGAAUACUGCAGC